RNAcentral lists this ribosomal RNA (433 nucleotides) under uncultured bacterium. RNAcentral's name for it is "partial 16S ribosomal RNA". It matches the Rfam family "Bacterial small subunit ribosomal RNA", at positions 29 to 507 of the family's 1533-position model. The record is from RNAcentral.
AGCGAACGCUGGCGGCAGGCUUAACACAUGCAAGUCGAGCGGGCCUUUCGGGGUCAGCGGCGGACGGGUGAGUAACGCGUGGGAACGUGCCCUCUGGUUCGGAAUAACUCAGGGAAACUUGAGCUAAUACCGGAUACGCCCUUUUGGGGAAAGGCUUGCUGCCGGAGGAUCGGCCCGCGUCUGAUUAGCUAGUUGGUGAGGUAACGGCUCACCAAGGCGACGAUCAGUAGCUGGUCUGAGAGGAUGAUCAGCCACACUGGGACUGAGACACGGCCCAGACUCCUACGGGAGGCAGCAGUGGGCAAUAUUGGACAAUGGGCGCAAGCCUGAUCCAGCCAUGCCGCGUGAGUGAUGAAGGCCUUAGGGUUGUAAAGCUCUUUUAUCCGGGACGAUAAUGACGGUACCGGAGGAAUAAGCCCCGGCUAACUUCGUG